RNAcentral lists this unclassified non-coding RNA (377 nucleotides) under soil metagenome. RNAcentral describes it as "partial contains 5.8S ribosomal RNA, internal transcribed spacer 2, and large subunit ribosomal RNA". The stretch from base 1 to 120 matches the Rfam family "5.8S ribosomal RNA", at positions 35 to 154 of the family's 154-position model. The record is from RNAcentral.
GAUGAAGAACGCAGUAAAAUGCGAUAAGUAAUGUGAAUUGCAGAAUUCAGUGAAUCAUCGAAUCUUUGAACGCACCUUGCACCCUUUGGCAUUCCGAAGGGUAUGCUCGUUUGAGUGUCAUUGUACUCUCACACUUCCGAUCUUUGGAUUGGGAGCGGUGGACUUGGGUGUUGCUGCUUACUGUGGCUCACCUCAAAUCGAUUCGUGCACCUCUUGGUUGGACAUAGUACGGCGUGAUAAGUGUCUUCGCCGGCACCUCAGUAGAGGGUGGCUGAUCGGGAGCUCUGCUUCAAACCGUCCUCGGACAACAACUGACAACUUGACCUCAAAUCGAGUAGGACUACCCGCUGAACUUAAGCAUAUCAAUAAGCGGAGGA